This is a long non-coding RNA of Cygnus olor (mute swan), 3930 nucleotides long. RefSeq lists it as uncharacterized. The transcript has 5 exons. NCBI's taxonomy places the organism in Eukaryota, Metazoa, Chordata, Aves, Anseriformes, Anatidae. The record is from RefSeq and is a predicted model, not a curated record.
UCCAUUCGCUGCUUGGUGCUUUUUGCAGUCGUUGCAAGCCUACUGGCCCAAUGUAGGCUUUGGGUGGUGCGUGUUUUUGCAGACGUCCAUUCUUCCAAAAUAGCAACGUCAAAGCCAAAUCAGGGGUGUUGAGACCGCGUCCCAGUAUCAUUGCUAUCGGCCCUCCUGCUCACUCAGAACUUAUUCUCCCUGCUACAAUUUGUAUGAAAAUUAUUUUUGUUUCCCUACCCAGAUAAAAAAUGAGAAAGAAUAAUGCUCCUAAGAUGCUUCAACACACAAGUUUUAUUUCAAAAUUUGUGACGUGCUAACAGCAACCAACCACAGCUCCCUGAUGCAAUUUACAGCACUCAGGCAGACAGAGGAAAUAAUCAGAGUUAUUGCGCAGCCAUCCUUCAGCACACGUGAGCCACACACAGGGCUCGUGCAUCCUUCCUGCAGCAGGGACCAAACAGCCUGCUCGGCCUACGGCCUGGGGUGAUCCUUGACAUUUGAGGAAGGCAUUCCUAUGAGAAUAAUUCUGGAAAAAAAACUCCUUUUUGCCAUCCAUAUACAACUAUCAAUAGCAUACCCGUGAGUGAUCAGUGGAAAAUGACACAAACACAGUGUGCUCGGAGCCUGGGCACGCCCCUGUCCGAAUCACCCCAGCAAACGGGGCCACGAGCCCCCUUCGCUUCAGCGCAAAGGCACCAGGAAGGUCUCUGCUGAGUGGGCAUACAAGUUUCAUUUCAUUUCUGACUUUCUGGGCAUUGCGCACACUGCUCACCUCCAGGAUGUGCUCCUACAUUUUUACUUUAAGGAAAGACACACACGUUUUUCAUCUCUCCCCAAGGAAGUAAAGAACAGAGAUCUGAGAGCGUGACACAGUCUCGCUAGAGGGCAUCCAGUUACUAACAUCUAAGAUGAGUGAUGCUGAUUUCCCUCCUCUGUGGGUUUUAAUGACGAUCAAAAGUAGGCUAACAAACACCAUCCAGCUGGGGCUUGAAAUAUGUGGUUGGAUACUUUUUUUUAAAAAAAAGAGAACACAACAGUUUUCACACAAGUGCAGUACAAAAUACUGUAAUUAUUAGCUGGUUGUUCAGAGCUAAACCCCCAAACCACACUUUCUGAAACUCCCACUCUGUAUCAAUAGUUACAGACAUGCUCUUAGGGGAGCAGGGAACUGAACUUGCCUUUCACACAGUCCCCCCGAGUGCUCUGCCCACUACUCUCUGUAAGCUCAUUUUCUCUUUUGGGGAAUACUGCUCUCAAAUGGAACCGCUUCAAGCGGAGAGACAGAGACAGAUCCAUUGUGGGAUGCUUGUGGCCUCCUCCUGGGAUGUAGGAAAGUUGGAAUGACAGUUUUGCUUCGAGUCAAGAAGAACAAGGAUUUGAGAAUUAGACUCUUGCCCCAAGCUUUCAUUUCAGAACUGACAUUUGCAUUUUAUGGAUGAGUAAUUCGGGGGGAAAAUGCACACUAAAAGGUUGCCGAAGAGAGGAAGAAGAUCUUGUGCUGAUGAUAACUUCUUCCAAAUAUUUAACUUCUAGGAUGUAAAAGCAGAUUUUUUCCAGCACAGAAAUUCUUCCUGCAUAUUUCUGAUAUGGAACAAUAGUCCAGCGGAUCCUGUAAAUCUUUCUUUUCCUAAUGUAAGAUUGUCCAGACUAAAUAUUAGACAGGGCUCUGCCUCUCACGUGCCCUUCCAGCAAAGCCUUUCCUCCUUCAUUUUUUAAUCAGAAAAGGAUUACAUUUGGGAAACUGCAAGAGGACCCCUUUCUUAGUCAGCUUUGACCAACUCUUCAAGACACAAGACUGAGUCCUGUAACACCCCUCCAUAUCCCAUAGUUUUAAAGAUCCUCCUCCUUCUAGUAGAAGCUAUACCUUUUGCUCUUUAGGCCUUGGCUUACCUCUGAAAAAAUAAUUCUUAAUGGGAGUUGGCUAACUCAAAAUGAAAUCCUAGUGAAGAUAAGACAGGGGAUGGUUUUCCCCUAAGCUAGCAUUAGUGUCUUUGGAGUGGCGAAAUGAUAAUAUCAAAUGGUUGCACAGUAUUUUCAUGCUUCAUGACUUCUGAUGGAUACAAAUAUGCAGCUAGCCUCUGUGCAGCGUGAAUCAGUAGAAUUGCGUAGCCCAAACCCAUCUGACAUCCUUAGCUGCCCACACCAGUCCCCUGACCGUUAAGCACCCCGGACUUGUAUUCUGCUCCCAGGUAUUAAGCAGGAGCCCAGCCUCAAGCUUCUGCACCCUGCUGCAGCUGACAUGACAAAAUCUGCUUUGGCCCUGACCGUGUUUGCCCCAGGCCGGUAACAUUGCGAGCAAAAACCUCCUCAGUCAUCUCCAGACGCUUUUGCAGCCUAUCCACUGGCACUGGGCAAUUCCACUGCUGCUUAGAAAGAGCAUCUUAAUCGAAGAUAGCUGAAGCAAAGGCAAACGGCCACCUCGUCACUCACAGAACCACACAGAUAACAGAUCUCAGCAAAAUGUCACUGAAGAUAAAGUCCGGGGUUUUCAGAGCAGCGCUUCUGAAGAGGUGCUUGGAGAUUGUGGCCGCCAAGAAAAGAAUAGACAGAUAGUCUGCAGAACGGGAGAUUUCUGACGGUGAAGUCCUAUUGGGGUUUUUUUGGGACAGUUACAUAUAAGACACCAAAGGAAUGGCUCAGAACUACUAUCCCCACCUACAGUGUUUCUUUUCCUCUUCAUUUACGGUAACAAUGUUCAGGCAACAGUUUGGUUUUUUCAGUUCCCACUUACUAUUCAUUGUGAAACUUGGUAAGAUUGGCCAUGUUUUAAUGUGACUCCACAAGUAUACAGAUAAACACAUUUUUCUUCAACAGCUUCCCUCUAUUUACAAACCUAUCGCAUUGUUUGGGUCAUUCCUUAAGGCACAUAGCAUGGUUGGCAUCAUUCUGUCCUAAACCUUCUGCUAUUGCUCUCAUUUUAUUACUAUGUAUAGAAAACAUACACAAGUGUUUUCUGAUACUUUGCCGAACGGCUUAAACACUGAGUAUCAAAACUGAUUGCAGAAAUCAUCCCUGGUACUGCAGGUGACUUAGUGACAGGCAUGAUUUGGAGCAAAGGGCAGAUCUGUAGGAACAAAUACUAAAGUAAAACUCCAUGUGACAAAAGCAGCAGCAGCACAGCAAACUACAAAGAUCAAGUUACAAUCUGAAGUAUUGCAGAGUUUUUAAUGGAAGUAAUUAGCUUGAAAUCAAAGUUUCUACCUUAAACCAGAUUAUAUCUGCAAAGGAAAGGGAUUCGUUCGGUUAUGCUACAGAACCUUUCCAAAUUGUACUGCACUGCUGCUAUUCCUUUUACUUAGUAGCUGCAAAAUAAUUUGUUUUAGGUUAUCUAGGACUUAAGUUCACAGAAGAACACAUUUAAGUUGACUUCACAGUCAUCAAAGUUUAGUGGCUUUAUUGAAUUCAACUGAGAACCGCAUGGAAUAUCUGAGACCGAGGCUGAUAAGCGAAACUUGACCUUCUACAAUACCAGCCAAGUAAAAACCCCUCUUAAUGUCACUUCCAGCUGCAGCAGAUAGAUAUCGUUUUUAAAGCAACCUUGAACAAGAAUUUUUGAUGUCUGACAACUUUUUCAAUAUCCGGGAAUUAUCCAGUGCUGGAAAACUUUCCAGUGGCUGAACGUUGCUUUGGUAGUCAAGAUUGUCUUUGACGAUGGUUAAGGACAAAUUUACAAAGUAUCUCUCUCUAUACUGAGGAGCAAAUUUUAUCCUCAGAAAAUCAAGUGUGUGAGCAAGUCAGAUUUUGAAUAACAAUCUACUGUAUGGGAUUGCAAAUUGUAAAACGGUACAAGAGAGAGAAGAUCAGCCUACAUUUCUAUAUUAUAACUUCAUUAAAAGAAGAUAUUCUUAAAAACUCCCAUUAUGCGGUCUUGUUCUUAACUGUUUUUUUUAAAACGCUGCCUUACUGCUCACAUGCUUGAUAUUCUCGGUGGUAGUUCCA